Rhabditophanes sp. KR3021 is the source of this 72-nucleotide non-coding RNA. Lineage: Eukaryota; Metazoa; Nematoda; Chromadorea; Rhabditida; Alloionematidae. The record is from Rfam.
GAGCCUGUGGCGCAGUGGAAACGCGACAGACUUCGAAUCUGUAGAUCGCAGGUUCGAUCCCUGCCAGGUUCG